CUCAACUAUCCCAUGCUUCACCAUUAUUUCGGGCAUGCUUUGUUCUUUAUUUCUUAAAAGACAUUAAAUUUGCUGAUAAAGGUUAUAUCCUUUCAUUUACACAUUGAAUUGUGAUUGCUUUCUUUAAUUUUUGUAUAGUUUACCUGUUUGGCUCCAUUUAUUUUGUAGAAAUUGUUUCCAACAAAUCAUUUUCCAUAUUUUCUAGUGUUUUGACACUAAGGAAAAUUGAUUAACAGAAUCUUUUCAUAGCUAAAUGAAAACCGACCAUUUUCAAGAAAAAUAAUUUAAGCUUUUGAAAUGGGAAGUAAUUUUCGAGAUUUUCACAAACUUGUAAAAAUAGG
This 341-nucleotide unclassified non-coding RNA is filed under the name Hevea brasiliensis (rubber tree). The record is from RNAcentral. Lineage: Eukaryota; Viridiplantae; Streptophyta; Magnoliopsida; Malpighiales; Euphorbiaceae.